RNAcentral lists this ribosomal RNA (492 nucleotides) under uncultured bacterium. RNAcentral's name for it is "partial 16S ribosomal RNA". It matches the Rfam family "Bacterial small subunit ribosomal RNA", at positions 29 to 507 of the family's 1533-position model. The record is from RNAcentral.
AGUGAACGCUGGCGGUAGGCCUAACACAUGCAAGUCGAACGGCAGCACAGUAAGAGCUUGCUCUUACGGGUGGCGAGUGGCGGACAGGUGAGGAAUACAUCGGCAUCUACUUUUUCGUGGGGGAUAACGUAGGGAAACAUACGCUAAUACAGCAUACGACCUACGGGUGAAAGCAGAGGAUCUUCGGACCUUGCGCGAUUGAAUGACACGAUGUCGGAUUAGCUAGUUGGCGGGGUAAAGGCCCACCAAGGCGACGAUCCGUAGCUGGUCUGAGAGGAUGACCAGCCACACUGGAACUGAGACACGGUCCAGACUCCUACGGGAGGCAGCAGUGGGGAAUAUUGGACAAUGGGCGCAAGCCUGAUCCAGCCAUGCCGCGUGGAGGAAGAAGGCCUUCGGGUUGUAAAGUCCUUUUGUUGGGAAAGAAAAGCAGUAGGUUAAUACCCCGCUGUUCUGACGGUACCCAAAGAAUAAGCACCGGCUAACUUCGUG